This 48-nucleotide non-coding RNA is filed under the name Schistosoma mansoni. The record is from RNAcentral. Lineage: Eukaryota; Metazoa; Platyhelminthes; Trematoda; Strigeidida; Schistosomatidae.
GUACUGCUGAGGAGUCCCACAAUAUAGGACGAAACGGCCGUCCAGUGC